UGAACUUUCUUCGGGAGACGUAAGCCUUGCUAAAAUUCAUACCUAAAAAUAUAAGCUUCAUCUGGGUACCUCCGUAUCUCGUGUUGGUAAUAACUAAGCUAGAAUCUUCUUUUUACACUGUACAUGCUUAAGAUGUGGUCUAUUAAGAAACUUUUUUUUUUUUUGAGAAAGAAAUAUGUAGCACGCUAUCCCUUUUGUUUAUUUCUUAAAAGAAUAAAUUUAGCUGAAAAUGUGAAUCAACUAGGAUUUGAACAUGGGACCUUAGGUAUCAACUAACAAGCCCUUUGCCACUUGCUCUAGGGACAAUUAUUGCCUACACCAGGACCACCAUUGAUAGAUAACCUCUUGC
Molecule: long non-coding RNA, 349 nt
Filed under: Ananas comosus (pineapple)
Lineage: Eukaryota; Viridiplantae; Streptophyta; Magnoliopsida; Poales; Bromeliaceae
Description: long non-coding RNA (ACOM_LNC008568)
Source: RNAcentral